ACACACAAGCAUAAUCCAAAUCCUGAAACGAAAAACUUCCAAUCCACAGAAUCUGAUCAAAACAAUUCCUUUGAUUACAAUUCCUCUCCACUGAGCUUACAACCUUGCGAUAAAUAGUGAUUGAAUACUUCCAUACAUCAUCAAUCUUUCACAACAACUAAUAAACAGUGAUCCAUAAACAACUUCGUAAAUCAAACAUUGAUUCAUUAAAUCGAUCCUCUUCACUAGAAUCAACACUAACACAAAAGAAACAAGAAAACUAAGAAGAAGAGAUAGCACCAAGCUUAUCCCUGGCUCAGUACUAUUACAGUCUGGCAUUUUCUUCCCCUCUCCCAUC
This 337-nucleotide long non-coding RNA is filed under the name Physcomitrium patens. Its description in RNAcentral is "long non-coding RNA (PPAT_LNC009305)". The record is from RNAcentral. Lineage: Eukaryota; Viridiplantae; Streptophyta; Bryopsida; Funariales; Funariaceae.